ACGGGUGAGUAAUGUCUGGGAAACGUGCCUGAUGGAGGGGGAUAACUACUGGAAACGGUAGCUAAUACCGCAUAACGUCGCAAGACCAAGAGGGGACCUUCGGGCCUCUUGCCAUCGGAUGUGCCCAGAUGGGAUUAGCUAGUAGGUGGGGUAACGGCUCACCUAGGCGACGAUCCCUAGCUGGUCUGAGAGGAUGACCAGCCACACUGGAACUGAGACACGGUCCAG
RNAcentral lists this ribosomal RNA (228 nucleotides) under uncultured bacterium. RNAcentral describes it as "partial 16S ribosomal RNA". It matches the Rfam family "Bacterial small subunit ribosomal RNA", at positions 102 to 334 of the family's 1533-position model. The record is from RNAcentral.